RNAcentral lists this ribosomal RNA (510 nucleotides) under uncultured bacterium. Its description in RNAcentral is "bacterial SSU rRNA". It matches the Rfam family "Bacterial small subunit ribosomal RNA", at positions 17 to 518 of the family's 1533-position model. The record is from RNAcentral.
UUAUGGCUCAGGAUGAACGCUAGCGAUAGGCCUAACACAUGCAAGUCGAGGGGCAGCACAUGAGUAGCAAUACGAUGGUGGCGACCGGCGCACGGGUGAGUAACACGUAUGCAACCUACCUUUAACAGGGAAUAACCCGUUGAAAACGGAACUAAUACUCCAUAACACAGGGGUCCCGCAUGGGAAUAUUUGUUAAAGAUUUAUCGGUUGAAGAUGGGCAUGCGUUCCAUUAGCUUGUUGGUGAGGUAACGGCUCACCAAGGCUACGAUGGAUAGGGGAACUGAGAGGUUUAUCCCCCACACUGGAACUGAGACACGGUCCAGACUCCUACGGGAGGCAGCAGUGAGGAAUAUUGGUCAAUGGAGGCAACUCUGAACCAGCCAAGUCGCGUGAAAGGAUGAAGGUCUUAUGGAUUGUAAACUUCUUUUGCAAGGGAAUAAAGUGGGGGACGUGUCCUCCUUUGCAUGUACCUUGCGAAUAAGGAUCGGCUAACUCCGUGCCAGCCGCAGC